CUACGGGUGGCAGCAGUGGGGAAUAUUGGACAAUGGGCGAAAGCCUGAUCCAGCCAUGCCGCGUGUGUGAAGAAGGCCUUCGGGUUGUAAAGCACUUUCAGUGGGGAAGAAAGCCUUGGGGCUAAUACCCUCGAGGAAGGACAUCACCCACAGAAGAAGCACCGGCUAACUCCGUGCCAGCAGCCGCGGUAAUACGGAGGGUGCGAGCGUUAAUCGGAAUUACUGGGCGUAAAGCGCGCGUAGGCGGUCUGAUAAGCCGGUUGUGAAAGCCCCGGGCUCAACCUGGGAACGGCAUCCGGGACGGUCAGGCUAGAGUGCAGGAGAGGAAGGUAGAAUUCCCGGUGUAGCGGUGAAAUGCGUAGAGAUCGGGAGGAAUACCAGUGGCGAAGGCGGCCUUCUGGACUGACACUGACGCUGAGGUGCGAAAGCGUGGGUAGCAAACAGGAUUAGAUACCCUAGUAGUC
RNAcentral lists this ribosomal RNA (464 nucleotides) under Vreelandella stevensii. RNAcentral describes it as "partial 16S ribosomal RNA". It matches the Rfam family "Bacterial small subunit ribosomal RNA", at positions 339 to 795 of the family's 1533-position model. The record is from RNAcentral. Lineage: Bacteria; Pseudomonadati; Pseudomonadota; Gammaproteobacteria; Oceanospirillales; Halomonadaceae.